This 605-nucleotide ribosomal RNA is filed under the name uncultured bacterium. Its description in RNAcentral is "bacterial SSU rRNA". It matches the Rfam family "Bacterial small subunit ribosomal RNA", at positions 79 to 679 of the family's 1533-position model. The record is from RNAcentral.
CUUGCUUCUCUUGAGAGCGGCGGACGGGUGAGUAAUGCCUAGGAAUCUGCCUGGUAGUGGGGGAUAACGUCCGGAAACGGACGCUAAUACCGCAUACGUCCUACGGGAGAAAGCAGGGGACCUUCGGGCCUUGCGCUAUCAGAUGAGCCUAGGUCGGAUUAGCUAGUUGGUGGGGUAAUGGCUCACCAAGGCGACGAUCCGUAACUGGUCUGAGAGGAUGAUCAGUCACACUGGAACUGAGACACGGUCCAGACUCCUACGGGAGGCAGCAGUGGGGAAUAUUGGACAAUGGGCGAAAGCCUGAUCCAGCCAUGCCGCGUGUGUGAAGAAGGUCUUCGGAUUGUAAAGCACUUUAAGUUGGGAGGAAGGGCAGUAAAUUAAUACUUUGCUGUUUUGACGUUACCGACAGAAUAAGCACCGGCUAACUCUGUGCCAGCAGCCGCGGUAAUACAGAGGGUGCAAGCGUUAAUCGGAAUUACUGGGCGUAAAGCGCGCGUAGGUGGUUCGUUAAGUUGGAUGUGAAAUCCCCGGGCUCAACCUGGGGAACUGCAUUCAAAACUGACGAGCUAGAGUAUGGUAGAGGGUGGUGGAAUUUCCUGUGUAGC